RNAcentral lists this ribosomal RNA (253 nucleotides) under uncultured bacterium. RNAcentral describes it as "partial 16S ribosomal RNA". It matches the Rfam family "Bacterial small subunit ribosomal RNA", at positions 524 to 776 of the family's 1533-position model. The record is from RNAcentral.
UACAGAGGGGGCAAGCGUUGUUCGGAAUUACUGGGCGUAAAGGGCGCGUAGGCGGCCUGCUAAGUCGAACGUGAAAUCCCUGGGCUCAACCCAGGAACUGCGUCCGAUACUGGUUGGCUUGAAUCCGGGAGAGGGAUGUGGAAUUCCAGGUGUAGCGGUGAAAUGCGUAGAGAUCGGGAAGAACAUCGGUGGCGAAAGCGCUCUACUGGACCGCAACUGACACUGAGGGACGAAAGCUAGGGGAGCGAAUGGG